RNAcentral lists this ribosomal RNA (372 nucleotides) under uncultured organism. RNAcentral's name for it is "partial 16S ribosomal RNA". It matches the Rfam family "Bacterial small subunit ribosomal RNA", at positions 527 to 896 of the family's 1533-position model. The record is from RNAcentral.
GUAGGUGGCAAGCGUUGUCCGGAAUUAUUGGGCGUAAAGCGCGCGCAGGCGGUCCUUUAAGUCUGAUGUGAAAGCCCACGGCUCAACCGUGGAGGGUCAUUGGAAACUGGAGGACUUGAGUACAGAAGAGGAAAGCGGAAUUCCAAGUGUAGCGGUGAAAUGCGUAGAGAUUUGGAGGAACACCAGUGGCGAAGGCGGCUUUCUGGUCUGUAACUGACGCUGAGGCGCGAAAGCGUGGGGAGCAAACAGGGAUUAGAUACCCUGGUAGUCCACGCCGUAAACGAUGAGUGCUAAGUGUUAGGGGGUUUCCGCCCCCUUAGUGCUGCAGCUAACGCAUUAAGCACUCCGCCUGGGGAUACGGCCGCAAGGCUG